UGAUCCUGGCUCAGAUUGAACGCUGGCGGCAGGCCUAACACAUGCAAGUCGAGCGGUAACAGGGGUAGCUUGCUACCCGCUGACGAGCGGCGGACGGGUGAGUAAUGCAUAGGAAUCUGCCCGAUAGUGGGGGAUAACCUGGGGAAACCCAGGCUAAUACCGCAUACGUCCUACGGGAGAAAGGGGGCUCCGGCUCCCGCUAUUGGAUGAGCCUAUGUCGGAUUAGCUAGUUGGUAAGGUAAUGGCUUACCAAGGCAACGAUCCGUAGCUGGUCUGAGAGGAUGAUCAGCCACAUCGGGACUGAGACACGGCCCGAACUCCUACGGGAGGCAGCAGUGGGGAAUAUUGGACAAUGGGGGCAACCCUGAUCCAGCCAUGCCGCGUGUGUGAAGAAGGCCCUCGGGUUGUAAAGCACUUUCAGCGAGGAAGAACGCCUAUCGGUUAAUACCCGGUAGGAAAGACAUCACUCGCAGAAGAAGCACCGGCUAACUCCGUGCCAGCAGCCGCGGUAAUACGGAGGGUGCAAGCGUUAAUCGGAAUUACUGGGCGUAAAGCGCGCGUAGGUGGCUUGAUAAGCCGGUUGUGAAAGCCCCGGGCUCAACCUGGGAACGGCAUCCGGAACUGUCAGGCUAGAGUGCAGGAGAGGAAGGUAGAAUUCCCGGUGUAGCGGUGAAAUGCGUAGAGAUCGGGAGGAAUACCAGUGGCGAAGGCGGCCUUCUGGACUGACACUGACACUGAGGUGCGAAAGCGUGGGUAGCAAACAGGAUUAGAUACCCUGGUAGU
This 783-nucleotide ribosomal RNA is filed under the name uncultured marine bacterium. RNAcentral describes it as "bacterial SSU rRNA". It matches the Rfam family "Bacterial small subunit ribosomal RNA", at positions 14 to 794 of the family's 1533-position model. The record is from RNAcentral.